CCUAUGGGAGGCAGCAGUGGGGAAUUUUCCGCAAUGGGCGAAAGCCUGACGGAGCAAUACCGCGUGAGGGAGGAAGGCUCUUGGGUUGUAAACCUCUUUUCUUAGGGAAGAACAAAAUGACGGUACCUAAGGAAUAAGCAUCGGCUAACUCCGUGCCAGCAGCCGCGGUAAUACGGAGGAUGCAAGCGUUAUCCGGAAUGAUUGGGCGUAAAGCGUCCGCAGGUGGUUUUGUAAGUCUAUUGUUAAAGCGUCUGGCUCAACCAGAUAAUGGCGGUGGAAACUACAAGACUAGAGUACGUUCGGGGCAGAGGGAAUUCCUGGUGUAGCGGUGAAAUGCGUAGAGAUCAGGAAGAACACCGGUGGCGAAAGCGCUCUGCUAGGCCGUAACUGACACUGAGGGACGAAAGCUAGGGGAGCGAAUGGGAUUAGAUACCCCAGUAGUCCUAGCCGUAAACGAUGGAUACUAGGCGUGGUCGUUGUAUCGACCGACGCGUCGCGUACGCUACGACGUAGUAUCCGCCGUCGGGUAGGUACGCACGCAGUGUGAACGUUAAAGUAGUAAGUUAGACGGCGUGUAAGACGUGCCGACGGACGACGACGAGGGAGGUUAGG
This 612-nucleotide ribosomal RNA is filed under the name uncultured bacterium. RNAcentral describes it as "bacterial SSU rRNA". The stretch from base 1 to 521 matches the Rfam family "Bacterial small subunit ribosomal RNA", at positions 338 to 873 of the family's 1533-position model. The record is from RNAcentral.